Non-coding RNA from Nicotiana tabacum (common tobacco), 1417 nucleotides. The record is from RefSeq and is a predicted model, not a curated record. NCBI's taxonomy places the organism in Eukaryota, Viridiplantae, Streptophyta, Magnoliopsida, Solanales, Solanaceae.
ACAAAUUGGCAGCAGAAGCUUUUUACUUGAUGGCCAUUGUAUAUGACAAGCUGGGGCAGCUGGACCACAGGGAAGAAGCAGCUUAUUCAUUUAGGAAACACAUCACUGCUCUUGAAAGCUCUGAUAUUGAAGAUCUUCUUCAAUAUUGUUGCUAAGAACCAGUAUUUUACGUAAAUAUGCCCUUGGCAGCUGGCAAAUCUGUGUUCGACCGUCUCAUACAUGCUUUUAUUACAGCUUCAUUCAUGCACCAUGAGAAGCAUUCUAAAUUUCUAAUGGAACACCCAUGUGGACAUUGAUUGUGAUAUAAUCAUAUAAAGGCAGUGAAGAUAUCAUGGAUGUGGUGGCUUUCCGAUUGCAAGCUUAGAAACACUUCAAAUUUCUUGGCAAGUGUAUCGUCGAUAUCCUCCAAUAUCAGAUUGAGGCACAUUUUUGUUGUUGAUGGUGGUUGAGUAACAUUAGUGCUAGAUGGCCAUGCUAUACCAGUUAGAGUGUACCCAACACUUUUGAAUAUGAUUGUUGGAAGAUACCAUGAUUUUGUUGGCCCGUUUGCGAGGCCGAAAAGGCUAAGGCUAAUGAUUUCUUGGGGGUGUUGAACUAGAUGUCCACAAUCAGUGAUCGGGAGAUAGAGAUCUAAAGAAGCCUCCUGAGGAGAUUGUCUAGCGUAAGAACCUUUUCCAACUUUUCUUAUGUUAGUGUAAGAUCUUCUCUCGUUGUACAGAUUGUUCUAUAGGGUUAGCAAUAUAGUAGGAUAUCAGAUAUUAAAUACGUUAUAAGACUUUGAGCCAUGUUGAAAGUUGAGAUCUUCGUACUUAUCACCUCAUCAACAUGAUAAAAUCAUUUGACGCCAUUGGUGUGCACAGAUUUACCUGAGCCCAGACAAGUAACUUAGCAGUAGUAUUUGUAGGGUUACCAUAGAUGCCAGGGACCAUUAUUGUGAAGAUACGUGCCGAAAGCCUGAAAAAGAGCUUGGACAGUUGUGGGAGUGGAUCAGAGAGCCUCAAAAUACCUUCUCUGUGUUGAAAUCUUGUAUGGAGUGUGGAAGGGGAAUAUGUAUGCCUAGAGAGAAAGUGGACCAGAAUGAACAUCCAAAUGAUGCUAAAGAGAAGAUAAAGGUCUUCUGAUCUCCCAUAUUGUGAUACCAUUUGGAGAACAAGUGCGGAUAGAAAGUGUCAGAAUGUGCAAGAGAAAGGUGUCUGAGUCCCUUUCACGGGCAUUAACAAAAAGAGUGCUGAAUCUGCUGAUAAGAGAGUUUUGUGAAAGUCUAUAUUUAAGAGGACGGCCCUUUAUAAUACGAAAUUUGCCUAUGCAUAUGAAACAAUUAUAUUUCUUUUGCCGAUAGAGUUACCUCGAGUCACUCCUAUGGCUUAGCUUCGAUUGACUUAGUGAAUUGUAAUGAAAGAACCAAAUACAUUCAUCA